CUUGCUUCUUGGGUGGCGAGUGGCGAACGGGUGAGUAAUAUAUCGGAACGUACCGAGUAAUGGGGGAUAACUAAUCGAAAGAUUAGCUAAUACCGCAUAUUCUCUGAGGAGGAAAGCAGGGGACUUUCGGGCCUUGCGUUAUUCGAGCGGCCGAUAUCUGAUUAGCUAGUUGGUGGGGUAAAGGCCUACCAAGGCGACGAUCAGUAGCGGGUCUGAGAGGAUGAUCCGCCACACUGGGACUGAGACACGGCCCAGACUCCUACGGGAGGCAGCAGUGGGGAAUUUUGGACAAUGGGCGCAAGCCUGAUCCAGCCAUGCCGCGUGUCUGAAGAAGGCCUUCGGGUUGUAAAGGACUUUUGUCAGGGAAGAAAAGGCUGUUGCUAAUACCGACAGCUGAUGACGGUACCUGAAGAAUAAGCACCGGCUAACUACGUGCCAGCAGCCGCGGUAAUACGUAGGGUGCGAGCGUUAAUCGGAAUUACUGGGCGUAAAGCGAGCGCAGACGGUUACUUAAGCAGGAUGUGAAAUCCCCGGGCUCAACCUGGGAACUGCGUUCUGAACUGGGUGACUAGAGUGUGUCAGAGGGAGGUAGAAUUCCACGUGUAGCAGUGAAAUGCGUAGAGAUGUGGAGGAAUACCG
RNAcentral lists this ribosomal RNA (639 nucleotides) under Neisseria perflava. RNAcentral's name for it is "bacterial SSU rRNA". It matches the Rfam family "Bacterial small subunit ribosomal RNA", at positions 71 to 711 of the family's 1533-position model. Lineage: Bacteria; Pseudomonadati; Pseudomonadota; Betaproteobacteria; Neisseriales; Neisseriaceae. The record is from RNAcentral.